RNAcentral lists this long non-coding RNA (3049 nucleotides) under Sus scrofa (pig). RNAcentral describes it as "lncRNA (ENSSSCG00030069374.1)". Lineage: Eukaryota; Metazoa; Chordata; Mammalia; Artiodactyla; Suidae. The record is from RNAcentral.
UUUUUUUUUUUUUUUUUUUUUUUCCCAAGACUUUAUAUGUAGGCGCUCAGUUGAGAUCUCUAAGGCAGAUUGGGUUCCCACUGUGGCCUUCACUGAUGUUCUUGUUUUACUGUUUGAAACACUCUGUGGCCCCUGCUUGUUCUGUUUAUCUCUAACAUCAGUGAUCCGAAUCUCUUAAUGACCUUUAUUCUUUUUUUAAUUUUACAAUGAUUUUUAUCUUUUCCAUUAUAGUUGGUUUAGUGUUCUGUCAAUUUUCUAUUGUAUAGCAAGGUGACCCAGUCACACGUACAUGUAUACAUUCUUUUUUCUCACAUUUUCAUCCUCCAUCAUAAGUGACUAGACAUAGCUCCUAGUGCUACGCAGCAGGAUCUCAUUGCUUAUCCAUUCCAAAGGCAAUAGUUUUGUAUCUAUUAACCCCAAGCUCCCCAAACCACACCAUUCCCUCCCCCUCCCCCUUGGCAACCACAAGUCUAUUCUCCAAGUCCAUGAGUUUCUUUUCUGUGGAAAGGUUCAUUUGUGCUGUAUAUUAGAUUUCAGAUACAAGUGCUAUCAUAUGGUAUUUGUCUUUCUCUUUCCAACUUACUUCAUUUAUAUGAGAGUCUCUAGUUCCAUCCACGUUGCUGCAAAUGGCAUUAUUGUGUUCUUUUUUUAUGGCUAAGUAUGUGUAUAUGUACCACAUCUUCUUAAUCCAAUCAUCCGUUGAUAGACAUUUAGGUUGUUUCCAUGUCUUGGCUGUUGUGAAUAGUGCUGUGAUGAACAUAGGGGUGCAUGUGCUCAAUGACCUUUCUCAUCUUCAGUGGUCACCUUUUCAACCCUCCCCCCACCAUGGGUAACUUGCAAUUCUUCUUUCUCCUCUGCAAUAUUUGCUUCUUGAUUUGUUUUAUAAAUUAAUUUAUUUAUGUAUGUAUGUCUUCCUUUUUCUAAGGAAAGCAUCUUAUUAGUGAGCCUGGCCAGGGGUGUAGAAAAAAAAAAAUAACCUCUUUUGUUCAGGAAUGCUAGGAGUAAACAAACUUGUCUUUUCACAUGUGAAUUCACACAGCUGCCCCAGAAAGCUGCUCCCACAAGCUCCCCUCUGCAAAAUAACCAGAGCAAAACCCAACACACCAAGUCACCACUGUAAUCAGGAUCUGAUUCACUAUGAAAAGGCAUUGUUACAUAACGCCCUAUCUAAGUCCAUCUAUGAGGUUUGCUUUCAGUCGUCUUGACGUCAGGCAGUAUGGGGGAAAAAAGAAAGAAAAAAAGACUUUGCCUCUUUAGUUGGUGCUGCCAGAUGUAAAAAGGAAACUCUUUAAGCAUUCCAAUUGCCCCAGUUGGUACCAAGAUGGGCUGUGCUCACAAUCAGGGCAUUCUUUUACCAAACAGGUGAAAGUGGAGAGGCUGGGGACUACAAUUAUCCCCCAACAACAAAGCCACCAUUUCUGUGGCUGAUGGCUUUGUUUCCAUGGUAGAAGCUGCAUUGCUUGGUGCAGAAUUGUUCCCAAGUCUUGCAGCAUCAUUUGGACAACCCAGAUGUGCCAGUGGCAGCCCCAUUUCCCCCCUGGCCUGACAGCCCCUCAGAAGAGACCCAUUAAUAGCGAGCCAGUCUGCUCCAAGCUGCUACAUUAGCAGCAGGAAUCAACCCUCAUUCACUCAUUUAUUUAUAAAAUUGGGGGGGGGUGUAGUGAAGGUGGGCUAAGGAAGCAUGCAAUUAUUAGUUCAGCUUUCAGUUCAUUUUGCACAAUAUCAAGAGCAUACACAUGGCUAGGUUAUACCAAAUGGACACAUUAAAAACUCCUUCUGAGCCAUUGAGCAAUUUUACAGUUUAAGCCAAAACAUUCUCAUCAUAGGAGCCCCAAACCUAAUAUAGUUCUCCAGUUAAGCUGAAGAAAAAACUGCAUUGCUUAUGAUUGAUAUCCAUAAGAAAGAAAAUUUUAAGGAAAAGAUUAAAAUAUUGAGGAGGAUUCUAUUAUGCUAGCUGAAAAGAAUCUUGGAGGAUUCUGGUUCAUCCUGAGUCACAAGGCUAUGUUCAAAUUGUGUGUGGAUAAUUCUGUAUCAGGACUGACCAAGCCUGGUGCAUAGACCUAAAUGCUUGAGCCCAGAAUAUCAUGUGAUAAUCAACAGACCCUCAUUAGAGGGAGAGGUGAAUAAAAUUAUAAUAACCUCACAACAAAGAUGACCCUUUGCUUUGUCUUAUCAACAUAGUUUUGGAAUGAAAGGGCCAUACGAAGUCAAAUUGAUUUUGGGUUUUUUUUGUUUUGCUUUGUUUUGUUUUGUUUGGAGUUCCCAGGCCAGGGAUCACAUUCCAAUCACAGUUGCGACCUAAGCCACAGAGGCAGCAACACUGGAUCCUUAACCCACUGUGUGUCCCUGUGCUCCCAAGAUCCUGUUGAUCCCUUUGCACCACAGCAGGAACCCCUCAAUUUUUUAAAAUUAUGGUAAAAUAGGCAUAACAUAAAUUUUACCAUGUUUGAGUGUACAGUUCUGUAGCACCAAGCCCAUCAUCACCAUCCAUCUUCUGAACCUGUUCAUCUUCCCCGCCUGAAACUGUAUCCAUUCAAGUUUGGUUUCAUAAUAGCAUGUUGCAUGCAUGUAAAAAAAGUACAAAGAAUGAUAGAGUCAGCACAUAUGCAUCCACCACUUACCUCCCCAUAUUACAGUUUGUAAUAUUUGCUUCAGAUCUCCUCCCACUUCCCCUUUUCUUCUUUUUCUUCAGAAAUGAAACACCUGUUGAUACAACCAGAUACCUCAUGUGAUUCAUCCAGCCUAUGUCACCUUAUUCUUCCCCCAGGGUAGCCACUGCGUUCACAAUAUCAUAACAUCUGAGCAUAUCUGUAACAAAUAUAUACACUGUUUUGUAUGUGUGUAUAUAUAUAUAUACAUAUAGCUCAAAUUCAUUCUUUUCAUUUUUACUUAUUUAUUUUUUUGCACACACCCAUGGCAUGCAGAAGUUCUGGGUCUAGGGAUCGAACACACACCACAGCAAUGACUAGAGCCACUGCGGUGACAAUGCCAGAUCUUUAACCCACUGCGCCCCCAGGGAAACUCCAAAUUCAGAUCUGGGGAAUAUCCC